This 425-nucleotide ribosomal RNA is filed under the name uncultured bacterium. Its description in RNAcentral is "bacterial SSU rRNA". It matches the Rfam family "Bacterial small subunit ribosomal RNA", at positions 354 to 796 of the family's 1533-position model. The record is from RNAcentral.
GUGGGGAAUCUUGCGCAAUGGGCGAAAGCCUGACGCAGCCAUGCCGCGUGAAUGAUGAAGGUCUUAGGAUUGUAAAAUUCUUUCAGUAGGGACGAUAAUGACGGUACCUACAGAAGAAGCCCCGGCUAACUUCGUGCCAGCAGCCGCGGUAAUACGAAGGGGGCUAGCGUUGCUCGGAAUUACUGGGCGUAAAGGGAGCGUAGGCGGGUUAUCAAGUUGGAGGUGAAAGCCCAGGGCUCAACCUUGGAAUUGCCUUCAAAACUGAUAGCCUAGAGUAUGAUAGAGGUAAGUGGAACUCCGAGUGUAGAGGUGAAAUUCGUAGAUAUUCGGAAGAACACCAGUGGCGAAGGCGACUUACUGGAUCAUGACUGACGCUGAGGCUCGAAAGCGUGGGGAGCAAACAGGAUUAGAAACCCUUGUAGUCC